This 253-nucleotide ribosomal RNA is filed under the name uncultured bacterium. RNAcentral's name for it is "partial 16S ribosomal RNA". It matches the Rfam family "Bacterial small subunit ribosomal RNA", at positions 524 to 776 of the family's 1533-position model. The record is from RNAcentral.
UACGAAGGUCCCAAGCGUUAUCCGGAUUUAUUGGGUUUAAAGGGUGCGUAGGCGGGUUAUUAAGUCAGUGGUGAAAGCUCCCGGCUCAACCGGGAAAUUGCCAUUGAUACUGAUGAUCUUGAGUGUGGUUGAGGUGGGCGGAAUGUGUCAUGUAGCGGUGAAAUGCUUAGAUAUGACACAGAACACCGAUUGCGAAGGCAGCUCACUAAGCCACAACUGACGCUGAUGCGCGAAAGCCAGGGGAGCGAACGGG